This 292-nucleotide ribosomal RNA is filed under the name uncultured bacterium. RNAcentral's name for it is "partial 16S ribosomal RNA". The record is from RNAcentral.
GGACUACUGGGGUAUCUAAUCCCGUUCGCUCCCCCAGCUUUCGCGCCUCAGCGUCAAGAUUGCCCCAGGAGACCGCCUUCGCCACUGGUGUUCCUACCGAUAUCUACGCAUUUCACCGCUACACCGGCAAUUCCAUCUCCCCCUAGCACCUUCAAGAAGAACAGUCUCCACCGACCCUCCGGGGUUGAGCCCCGGGCUUUCACAGCGGACUUAUCCUCCCGCCUACGCGCGCUUUACGCCCAGUAACUUCGGACAACGCUCGCCCCCUCCGUAUUACCGCGGCGGCUGGCAC